CCUACGGGUGGCAGCAGUGAGGAAUAUUGGUCAAUGGUCGGGAGACUGAACCAGCCAAGCCGCGUGAGGGAUGAAGGUACAGAGUAUCGUAAACCUCUUUUGUCAGGGAACAAAGGCGUGGACGUGUCCCCGGAUGAGUGUACCUGAAGAAAAAGCAUCGGCCAACUCCGUGCCAGCAGCCGCGGUAAUACGGAGGAUGCGAGCGUUAUCCGGAUUUAUUGGGUUUAAAGGGUGCGCAGGGGGUCUGUUAAGUCAGCGGUUAAAGGCCGGGGCUCAACCCCGAGACCGCCGUUGAAACUGGCAGUCUCGAGUUGGAGAGAAGUAUGCGGAAUGCGCGGUGUAGCGGUGAAAUGCAUAGAUAUCGCGAAGAACUCCGAUUGCGAAGGCAGCAUGCCGGCUCCACACUGACGCUGAGGCACGAAAGCGUGGGUAUCGAACAGGAUUAGAUACCCCAGUAGUC
RNAcentral lists this ribosomal RNA (460 nucleotides) under uncultured bacterium. RNAcentral's name for it is "partial 16S ribosomal RNA". It matches the Rfam family "Bacterial small subunit ribosomal RNA", at positions 338 to 795 of the family's 1533-position model. The record is from RNAcentral.